GACGAACGCUGGCGGCGUGCUUAACACAUGCCAGUCGAACGGAAAGGCCCUGCUUUUGUGGGGUGCUCGAGUGGCGAACGGGUGAGUAACACGUGAGUAACCUGCCCUUGACUUUGGGAUAACUUCAGGAAACUGGGGCUACUACCGGAUUGGAGCUCCUGCUGCAUGGUGUGGGUUGGAAAGUUUCGGCGGUUGGGGAUGGACUCGCGGCUUAUCAGCUUGUUGGUGGGGUAGUGGCUUACCAAGGCUUUGACGGGUAGCCGGCCUGAGAGGGUGACCGGCCACAUUGGGACUGAGAGACGGCCCAGACGCCUACGGGAGGCAGCAGUGGGGAAUAUUGCAGAAUGGGCGGAAGCCUGAUGCAGCAACGCCGCGUGCGGGAUGACGGCCUUCGGGUUGUAAACCGCUUUCGCCUGUGACGAAGCGGGAGUGACGGUAAUGGGUAAAGAAGCACCGGCUAACUACGUG
This 468-nucleotide ribosomal RNA is filed under the name uncultured bacterium. RNAcentral's name for it is "partial 16S ribosomal RNA". It matches the Rfam family "Bacterial small subunit ribosomal RNA", at positions 28 to 507 of the family's 1533-position model. The record is from RNAcentral.